This 1011-nucleotide long non-coding RNA is filed under the name Medicago truncatula (barrel medic). RNAcentral describes it as "lncRNA gene4445". Lineage: Eukaryota; Viridiplantae; Streptophyta; Magnoliopsida; Fabales; Fabaceae. The record is from RNAcentral.
AAAGAAAGAACUAAGAAGAACAUGGCAAAAAGACAAACAAACCUGCAAUUAUAUCUGCCCCACCACUGAUGUACUUGGAGAUACUAUGAACAACAACAUCAGCACCAAGCUUCACCGGCGAAAUCACCAUCGGAGUAAAAGUAUUAUCCACCACCACCGUCACACCUUUCCGAUGCGCCACCCUACACAACUCCGGUAUAUUUGCCACCGAGAGAGUAGGGUUUGAGACUGAUUCAAAAUACAAAACCUUAGUCUUUCCUUCGAUGAUAGCUUCAUCAACCAUUUCAAUAUCGGAAAUCUCAACGAACGUGGUUGUUAUGUUGCAUGUACGUGGAAGAAAAUGAGUUAACAGCGCGUGUGUUCCACCGUAGAGUGUUCUUGAAGCGACCACGUGUUCUCCGGUGGAGGUGAGUUGGAGGAUUGCAGCGGAAAUGGCGGACAUGCCGCUGGAUGUACAGUAAGCGGCUUCUGUACCUUCGAGAGCGGCCAUUAGACGGGAGAGGUUAAGGACGGUAGGGUUGAAGUGACGGCUGUAGACGAAGAAGUCGCGGUCUGGACCUAACUCUCCGGCGAACAUGCGUCGGAGAGUUUCUGGUUCCAUGACUGUGAAUGUUACCGAGGCUUCUAUUGACAUGUUUACGCCGCCGUGUUCGCCGAAUUCGUGUCGUGCGUUGGCGAGUGAGGUGGCUGGGUUGAAGACGGUGCCGUUUUGUGUAGCGGUUGCUAGUUUCUUUUUUGUUUCGGUUUCGUCGUCCACACGGUUACGCUUGGCGGGGGCGGCGGCGGUGGUGGUGGUCAUGAGGAAAGUGUCAGCCAUGGGUUUAGUGUGUAGGAGAAGGGAGUUAAGUGGUGAUUAGUAUUACAAAAUGGAAAGUUGUACUAUGAUGUUGAAAAUGAAGUUAAACAAAUAAGUAUGUACUAUGUAUCUAGCAAGAAGGCUUAGUUGUUUUGAAUUGAUUUGGUGUCGUAAUACCUUCUAUAUAUAAUAGUGUAGUCGUGUUAGUGUAUGGG